Molecule: ribosomal RNA, 96 nt
Filed under: Triticum aestivum (bread wheat)
Lineage: Eukaryota; Viridiplantae; Streptophyta; Magnoliopsida; Poales; Poaceae
Description: partial small subunit ribosomal RNA
Source: RNAcentral
AUGAUAUAUUAUUUAAUCGUGGAAAUGCCAUGUCAGGUGCACCUAUCAGAAUCAGAACAAACCAAUUACCACAUCCACCUAUCAUCACUGGCAUAA